RNAcentral lists this transfer RNA (69 nucleotides) under Conepatus semistriatus (striped hog-nosed skunk). RNAcentral describes it as "tRNA-Glu". It matches the Rfam family "tRNA". Rfam says of the family: Transfer RNA (tRNA) molecules are approximately 80 nucleotides in length. Lineage: Eukaryota; Metazoa; Chordata; Mammalia; Carnivora; Mephitidae. The record is from RNAcentral.
GUUUCUAUAGUUGAAUUACAACGGUGGUUUUUCAUGUCACUGGUCGUGGUUAAAUCCCAUGUAGGAAUA